UCGUAGGUGGUUUGUCGCGUUGUUCGUGAAAUCUCACGGCUUAACUGUGAGCGUGCGGGCGAUACGGGCAGACUUGAGUACUGCAGGGGAGACUGGAAUCCCUGGUGUAGCGGUGGAAUGCGCAGAUAUCAGGAGGAACACCGGUGGCGAAGGCGGGUCUCUGGGCAGUAACUGACGCUGAGGAGCGAAAGCGUGGGGAGCGAACAGGAUUAGAUACCCUGGUAGUCCACGCCGUAAACGGUGGGUACUAGGUGUGGGUUUCCUUCCUUGGGAUCCGUGCCGUAGCUAACGCAUUAAGUACCCCGCCUGGGGAGUACGGCCGCAAGGCUAAAACUCAAAGAAAUUGACGGGGGCCCGCACAAGCGGCGGAGCAUGUGGAUUAAUUCGAUGCAACGCGAAGAACCUUACCAGGGUUUGACAUGCACAGGACGCCGGCAGAGAUGUCGGUUCCCUUGUGGCCUGUGUGCAGGUGGUGCAUGGCUGUCGUCAGCUCGUGUCGUGAGAUGUUGGGUUAAGUCCCGCAACGAGCGCAACCCUUGUCUCAUGUUGCCAGCGGGUAAUGCCGGGGACUCGUGAGAGACUGCCGGGGUCAACUCGGAGGAAGGUGGGGAUGACGUCAAGUCAUCAUGCCCCUUAUGUCCAGGGCUUCACACAUGCUACAAUGGCCGGUACAAAGGGCUGCGAUGCCGCGAGGUUAAGCGAAUCCUUUUAAAGCCGGUCUCAGUUCGGAUCGGGGUCUGCAACUCGACCCCGUGAAGUCGGAGUCGCUAGUAAUCGCAGAUCAGCAACGCU
This 792-nucleotide ribosomal RNA is filed under the name uncultured Mycobacterium sp. Its description in RNAcentral is "bacterial SSU rRNA". It matches the Rfam family "Bacterial small subunit ribosomal RNA", at positions 569 to 1358 of the family's 1533-position model. Lineage: Bacteria; Bacillati; Actinomycetota; Actinomycetes; Mycobacteriales; Mycobacteriaceae. The record is from RNAcentral.